Sceloporus undulatus (fence lizard) is the source of this 425-nucleotide long non-coding RNA. RefSeq lists it as uncharacterized. The transcript is spliced from 2 exons. Lineage: Eukaryota; Metazoa; Chordata; Lepidosauria; Squamata; Phrynosomatidae. The record is from RefSeq and is a predicted model, not a curated record.
UUUUCGUAGGAAGUUAGACGAGAGGGUAGGUGCUUGUCUGCCUUGUUCCGGAAAGCGGCCGCCAUUUUGUUUCGUGGGACUGAAAUAAUAGGGAGGGAGAGAAGGACGGAGGCUUCCUUUCGGAUGCAGGGAAGGGAAUGGUCCUGCAAGAUUCUACCUUGAUGUUACGGAAUGGAAAACCCUGCAAGCAACUGUUGCUCCUUGAUAAAGUAUUGUUGAGAGCAUGCACUCUUAUGUAAAUAAAAGUUCCAAGAAAACUGUGUGGACCCUUUCUUAAUAGGCUCAAAGCACUGCCUUUAAACUGGUGCAUGGCCUCCUCAUGGCCUCACUGGCUACGCUGCAGUGCAAAAAUAAAGAACUUGCUUAUAACUGAUGUUGCUCAGCUGAAAACUGAGUGAUAUUUUUAAAGGCAAGUUACAUUUCAU